UUGGCAGAACACCUGUGUUUCCUACCUGGACAGUCUCCUGGUGCCUCUCUCCUUUCCUUGACGGGCUGCUCAGCAGCUUAUACAUUGCAGUUUUGAGAUGAAGAGAACUCUGUCAUUCACCUGGGAAUAGCAUCUUUAAGUGGAAGCACUCAUCUCUCACUGACAUUGUCCAAGUUCAGGAAGCAUGAAGGAGGAAUUCCAUCAGAGAUUUCUACAUUGAUUCUGCUGCUCCACAGUUAUUGCACUAAUUGGGCCAUACUUAGCUGUUGCACCAGCUCCUGAAAUGCUAUGUUGUAUGACAUCAUUAUUAUAUGGUAGGUACUACAUGCCAGCUCUAUGAAAA
This 343-nucleotide long non-coding RNA is filed under the name Zonotrichia albicollis (white-throated sparrow). Its description in RNAcentral is "lncRNA (ENSZALG00000006974.1)". Lineage: Eukaryota; Metazoa; Chordata; Aves; Passeriformes; Passerellidae. The record is from RNAcentral.